GAACCAAUGACACUGCAAGCAAUACACUCCAGAAGAUCAAAAGAGACUACGAGGCUCUGGGCAGGAAAUUGAAGCAAUUAAAUGCACAAAUUGUCAUCUCAUCUGUCCUCCCAGUUGAAUGACGUGGCCCAGGGAGAGAGGGGAAAAUAGUGGAAGUGAACAGCUGGCUUCGCAAAUGGUGUAAACAGGAACGGUUUGGAUUCUUAGAUCACGGACUGCAGUUUCUUGAAGAUGGACUUCUGGCAAGCGAUGGGCUGCACCUCACAACGGUUGGGAGGAAUGUUUUUGCCAAAAAUCUCAGAAACCUCAUCAGGAGGGCUUUAAACUGACUAAUGUGGGGAGGGAGACAGUGCUCCUGAAGGUAGGAGUCUAUCAAUUGAUGAAGAUGAUCAUCCAAAUGUCAUAGACCAAAUGGAGCAAACAGCACGCAGACCUAGUGGUGGGAGGAAAAAAUCCUUAAAUAAGAGUCACGGGGGAAUGAUUAAUGGACUUCAAUGUCUGUACACUAAUGCGCAAAGCAUGGGAAAUAAACAAGAUGAGCUUGAGCUCUUGGUACAGCAAACUAAAUAUGACAUAAUAGGCAUCACUGAAACCUGGUGGGAUAAGUCCCACGAUUGGAAUGUAAUAAUGGGGGAUACAAUCUAUUUCAGAGAAACAGACCAGACAAGAAAGGAGGAGGAGUGGCGUUAUAUGUCAGGGAUGUGUAUACCUGUGAAGAGAUCCAAGAUUUAGAACCUCAAAGCCAAAGUGAGAGCAUUUGGGUCAAAAUUAAGGGAGAGAAGAAUAACAGUGACCUCAUUGUGGGAGUUUACUAUAGAUCCCCAAGCCAAACGGAGGACGUAGAUGAUGCCUUCCUGGAACAGAUGGCCAAGCAUGCAAAAGGAAGGGAGAUAGUAGUAAUGGGGGACUUCAAUUACCCGGAUAUUUGUUGGAUGUCAAACUCAGCCAAGAGCAUAAGGUCAAACAGAUUCCUCACUGGCCUUGCAGACAACUUCAUUGUCCAGAAAGUGGGAGAAGCAACAAGAGGAACAGCCAUUUUAGAUCUGGUCCUAACCAAUGUUGAUGACCUGGUUAGUGGGGUAGAAGUGGAAGGAUCAUUAGGCGCGAGUGAUCAUGCUCUUCUGAAGUUUACUAUACAGCGGAAAGGAGCAGCCAAGCAUACUAGGACUCAAUUUCUUGACUUUAAGAAAGCUGACCUCAUAAAACUUAGGGAAGUGCUGGGUGAGAUCCCAUGGACAGUAAUACUAAAAGGAAAGGGAGUUCAUGAUGGCUGGGAGUUUGUUAAGAGGGAGAUACUAAAAGCACAACAUCAGGCAAUACCAAUGAGACAGAAACAUGGAAGGUGCCUAAAGAAGCCAGGGUGGCUAUCUAAAGAACUUUUAACUGAGUUAAGAUUAAAAAGGGAUGUGUACAAAAAUGGAAAAGGGGGGAAACCACCAAAGAGGAAUUCAAACGAAUAGCCAGCACGUGUAGACACAAAGUCAGAAAAGCUAAAGCACAGAAUGAACUCAGGCUUGCUAGAGAGGUUAAAAGCAACAAAAUAGGCUUUUAUGGGUAUGUCCGUAGCAAAAGGAAGAACAAAGAAACAGUGGGGUCACUCAGAGGAGAAGAUGGUGAAAUGCAAACAGGGGACACAGAAAGAGCUGAACUCCUCAAUGCCUUCUUUGCCUCAGUCUUCUCCGAUAAAGAAAACAAUGCCCGACCUGAAGAAUUUGGAGCAAAUGAUUCAGCAAAGGAAACACAGCCCAGAAUAACUAAGGAGAUAGUACAAGAAUACUUGGCUAGUUUAGAUGUAUUCAAGUCUCCAGGGCCAGAUGAACUGCAUCCAAGAGUAUUAAAAGAACUGGCAGAUGUGAUCUCAGAACCACUGGCAGUCAUCUUUGAGAAUUCCUGGAGAACAGGCGAAGUCCCAGCAGACUGGAGGAGGGCAAAUGUUGUCCCUAUUUUCAAAAAGGGGAAAAGAGAGGACCCAAAUAAUUACCGCCCAGUCAGUCUGACAUCAAUACCAGGGAAGAUUCUGGAGCAGAUCAUUAAGCAAACAGUCUGUGAGCACCUAGAAAGGAAUGCUGUGAUCACCAAUAGUCAGCAUGGAUUUCUGAAAAGAAGUCAUGUCAGACUAACCUGAUCUCGUUUUUUGACAGAAUUACAAGCCUGGUAGAUGAAGGGAACGCAGUGGAUGUAGCCUACCUUGAUUUCAGCAAGGCAUUUGACAAGGUGCCUCAUGAUAUUCUUGUAAAGAAGCUGGUAAAAUGCGGUCUUGACUAUGCUACCACUCAGUGGAUUUGUAACUGGCUGACUGACCGAACCCAAAGGGUGCUCAUCAAUGGUUCCUCUUCAUCCUGGAGAAGAGUGACUAGUGGGGUGCCACAGGGUUCUGUCUUGGGCCCGGUCUUAUUCAACAUCUUUAUCAACGACUUGGAUGAUGGACUCAAGGGCAUCCUGAUCAAAUUUGCAGAUGACACCAAAUUGGGAGGGGUGGCUAACACCCCAGAGGACAGGAUCACACUUCAAAACGACCUUGACAGAUUAGAGAACUGGGCCAAAACAAACAAGAUGAAUUUUAACAGGGAGAAAUGUAAAGUAUUGCACUUGGGCAAAAAAAUGAGAGGCACAAAUACAAGAUGGGGACACCUGGCUUGAGAGCAGUACAUGUGAAAAGGAUCUAGGAGUCUUGGUUGACCACAAACUUGACAUGAGCCAACAGUGUGACGCGGCAGCUAAAAAAGCCAAUGCAAUUCUGGGCUGCAUCAAUAGGAGUAUAGCAUCUAGAUCAAGGGAAGUAAUAGUGCCACUGUAUUCUGCUCUGGUCAGACCUCACCUGGAGUACUGUGUCCAGUUCUGGGCACCACAGUUCAAGAAGGACAUUGACAAACUGGAACGUGUCCAGAGGAGGGCAACCAAAAUGGUCAAAGGCCUGGAAACGAUGCCUUAUGAGGAACGGCUAAGAGAGCUGGGCAUGUUUAGCCUGGAGAAGAGGAGGUUAAGGGGUGAUAUGAUAGCCAUGUUCAAAUAUAUAAAAGGAUGUCACAUAGAGGAGGGAGAAAGGUUGUUUUCUGCUGCUCCAGAGAAGCGGACACGGAGCAACGGAUCCAAACUACAAGAAAGAAGAUUCCACCUAAACAUUAGGAAGAACUUCCUGACAGUAAGAGCUGUUCGACAGUGGAAUUUGCUGCCAAGGAGUGUGGUGGAGUCUCCUUCUUUGGAGGUCUUUAAGCAGAGGCUUGACAACCAUAUGUCAGGAGUGCUCUGAUGGUGUUUCCUGCUUGGCAGGGGGUUGGACUCGAUGGCCCUUGUGGUCUCUUCCAACUCUAUGAUUCUAUGAUUCU
Molecule: long non-coding RNA, 3326 nt
Filed under: Podarcis lilfordi (Lilford's wall lizard)
Lineage: Eukaryota; Metazoa; Chordata; Lepidosauria; Squamata; Lacertidae
Source: RNAcentral